UAAAAAAUUUGGCGGUAUUUUAGUCUAUUCAGAGGAACCUGUUCUAUAAUCGAUAUUCCACGAUGGACCUUACUUAAAUUUGUUAAUCAGUUUAUAUACCGUCGUUAUUAGAAUAUUUUAUAAGAAUGUUAAUUUUCAUAAUUUUUAAAAAGAAAAUAUAUCAGAUCAAGGUGUAGCUAAUAUUUAAGUAGAAAUGGGUUACAAUAAAUUUAUUUAAAUGGAUAUAAAUUUGAAAAUUUUAUUGAAAGUGGAUUUGAUAGUAAAAUUAUAAAGAUUAUUAAUUUGAUUUUAGCUCUAAAAUAUGUACACAUCGCCCGUCACUCUUAUUAUUAAGGUAAGAUAAGUCGUAACAUAGUAGAUGUACUGGAAAGUGUCUCUAGAAUGCAAUUUAAAGCUUAAUAGUAAAGUAUUUCAUUUACAUUGAAGAGAUUUUUGUGCAAAUCAAUAUAAAUUGAUUAAUUUUUAUUUAUUAAUUUUUUUUUAUUAUAAAUUAAUUAUUAAAAAUAAUUAUAAAUUGUAAUGUUUUAGUAUUUUAUAAAGAAAAAAUAAUUUUAAUAAUAGUUUAAUAGUAUUGUAAAAGAAAAUUGAAAUAAU
RNAcentral lists this ribosomal RNA (594 nucleotides) under Coenosia agromyzina. Its description in RNAcentral is "partial 12S ribosomal RNA". The stretch from base 1 to 387 matches the Rfam family "Microsporidia small subunit ribosomal RNA", at positions 779 to 1311 of the family's 1311-position model. Lineage: Eukaryota; Metazoa; Arthropoda; Insecta; Diptera; Muscidae. The record is from RNAcentral.